Molecule: non-coding RNA, 1370 nt
Organism: Podarcis lilfordi (Lilford's wall lizard)
Lineage: Eukaryota; Metazoa; Chordata; Lepidosauria; Squamata; Lacertidae
Source: the annotation of a GenBank genome assembly
GGAAGGGUGGGGCGGGAAAGGAGUCGCGUGCGCGGCCUCUGGGAAAGUUGCUUCAGGCUGCCGGGGGAAGAACAUGGCACGCCGAUGGAAUGUCUUCCAUUAGCAGGUUGUCAGUGGAGAGAUUGACAGGGAAACGGAUCAGACCUGAGGUAUAAAUCUUGGCUUUUACAUUUGCUCUGGAGAGGAGGAGCUGCUCAUGGGAUCAAACCCUGAUGCUCUGUAAAGGUCAUUUUCUACACCGGGAGACUGAGAAGCUUGUCAGCUCCUGGGAGCUUGGGGGGGGGCAGUGCUUUAAGCGAGGGGGAAUUAACUGCUUGCCCUGGAAGAGGUCUGUUGCAGGUUGGGUCUGCAAAAGCCUUUCUCCAGCUAUUUUAGAGACGGUUAUAAUUUAUCACUGAGAGGUUUCUGUGUCUGCUGGUUGAAUUUUACAUCUGGGGUGUGGCAACAAAAUGCAUGUUCUAAUUGUUUCAACCAUUAAAGUUUUAAGCAAUCAAGGAAGUUCUGAAUGCCAAGAAUCUUUAUUUUUUCAUUCCCAACUAAAGUGUUGCCUUUGUUGAACUGAACAUAAGUUUUCUACGUCACAUUUCCUCUGUAGAAAAGGAAUGUGGUUUGAUAAAAGAUAAAGCUGUGAAGAUCUCAAGGUGCAGACUGAAUUGUUAAUAAGACCAGGAAUAUUCAGUAUGGCAAAUACAUCAUCGGACAUUCCAUUGACUGUUGGCAUUCUUCAGCAAUUGUUUGAUGAGCAAAUCAGAGCGUUUAGACCAGAGAUUUGAACAAAAGUGGACCAGAGAAGGAUGAAAUGGAAAGGUGUUAAACAGGACAAAGAAACUUAGGACAAUAUGGGUGAAGGAAUGCCGGGAGGAGGAUGAAAUGCUAAAGAGGUGGAGGCAACAGAUGGUGAAACGGAGAAGCCCUUCACCCAGGCGUUUAGAGGAAUGAAACAGUCAAAUGAAGGAGCUGUGAUGUUGGGAGUGGAAGGAAGCCAUGGAUGGAGAGAUAAGACCACCUGAGCUGGCAGAGAUAAGAGAGAAAGGGCUCUGUACAUUGUGGAGUGAAUUUGGAGAAAAAGGCUAUCAAACAUCUGCUUCCCUUCUCUUGCUUCUGCAUCAUCAGCUUCCUUUGGACGCCUCCCGAGAUGACGAGGGAGGCAGCUUGUUUUCAGGGAAGCAGCUGAUGGUUUUCUUCCCGCUUCUCUGUAGACCCAAUUCCACAGGGACACGAAACAGGAGUGUGUGGGAGAACCCCCACCAGUCAUUAGACUAGAUCUCCCACUGCCCCAACCACUGGCCAUGAUGCUCAGUCAUUUUUCCUCCCAAUACUAGGCUUUGCCCUAAAAAGCAACUUAUUAAUAUGUUUAAUAAUAAAGAAUU